RNAcentral lists this ribosomal RNA (225 nucleotides) under Triticum aestivum (bread wheat). Its description in RNAcentral is "partial small subunit ribosomal RNA". Lineage: Eukaryota; Viridiplantae; Streptophyta; Magnoliopsida; Poales; Poaceae. The record is from RNAcentral.
AUGUUAGCGCCAAAGCUCGAGACUAUCAAGAUAAGGGGCUGCUGGAGCCUCGGGCGCUUGCCCACCGUUGCCAAGCAAUACCCCGAGGUGGACUGCGAGAAUGAUUGGUGGGAUAACUUGGAGUGGGACGAAGGGGGUGUGAACCACCACCCUUCGCUCUACAAACCGACCCACUCGAGGUACUACAAGAAGGCCCAGUUGCCGAGAGGCACCGUACUCAGGUGA